RNAcentral lists this transfer RNA (540 nucleotides) under uncultured Prochlorococcus sp. RNAcentral's name for it is "partial 16S-23S ribosomal RNA intergenic spacer". The stretch from base 212 to 284 matches the Rfam family "tRNA". Lineage: Bacteria; Bacillati; Cyanobacteriota; Cyanophyceae; Synechococcales; Prochlorococcaceae. The record is from RNAcentral.
CAGGGAGACAACAAAAUGUUUAAUAUUAUUAUUUUGUCACCUUAGGUCGAUCGGUAUCUCACGUUCUUAAUUAAUUAAGAAUUUCAUUUCCUAAGUUUUUCUAGGUCACACCCAUUAUUUUUCCUGGGCCAUUAGCUCAGGUGGUUAGAGCGCACCCCUGAUAAGGGUGAGGUCCCUGGUUCAAGUCCAGGAUGGCCCAUAUCUCUAUGUUGGGGGUAUAGCUCAGUUGGUAGAGCGCCUGCUUUGCAAGCAGGAUGUCAGCGGUUCGAGUCCGCUUACCUCCACUGAUUACCACCUCUUCCAUAAUCUGUAGAAAGGAAAAUUUUUGAGUUGUGAUCAUAAUUCUGAACGAAUCUAGCUUCCUAAUGAAAUCAUUAAGAUGCUGGACUCAUUGAAUUAAUUUCAUUGUUUUCAGAGAACCUUGACAACUGCAUAGAUUAUUUUUAAAGACAAUAAGCAUCUUUAUGAUGCAGAUUUAUUAUUUGUGCGAAUGCAUUAAUAACAAUUCUAUUAAGCUGAUGCUUCAAUUUUGAAGUUAUU